AUUGAACGCUGGCGGCAGGCCUAACACAUGCAAGUCGAACGAGUGGCGGACGGGUGAGUAAUGUCUGGGAAACUGCCUGAUGGAGGGGAUAACCCCUGGAAACGGUAGCUAAUACCGCAUACCAUCGGAUGUGCCCAGAUGGGAUUAGCUAGUAGGUGGGGUAACGGGCCAUCGAGGCGACGCACCCUAGCUGGUUCGAGAGGAUGACCAGCCACACUGGAACUGAGACACGGGCCAGACUCCUACGGGAGGCAGCAGUGGGGAAUAUGGCACAAUGGGCGCAAGCCUGAUGCAGCCAUGCCGCGUGUAUGAAGAAGGCCUUCGGGUUGUAAAGUACUUUCAGCGGGGAGGCGUUAGCUGCAGAAGAAGCACCGGCUAACUCCGUGCCAGCAGCCGCGGUAAUUC
RNAcentral lists this ribosomal RNA (405 nucleotides) under uncultured bacterium. Its description in RNAcentral is "partial 16S ribosomal RNA". It matches the Rfam family "Bacterial small subunit ribosomal RNA", at positions 29 to 526 of the family's 1533-position model. The record is from RNAcentral.